This 305-nucleotide ribosomal RNA is filed under the name uncultured bacterium. RNAcentral's name for it is "bacterial SSU rRNA". It matches the Rfam family "Bacterial small subunit ribosomal RNA", at positions 336 to 658 of the family's 1533-position model. The record is from RNAcentral.
CGCCUACGGGAGGCAGCAGUGGGGGAUAUUGGACAAUGGGGGAAACCCUGAUCCAGCGAUGCCGCGUGAGGGAAGAAGGUUUUCGGAUUGUAAACCUCUGUGGAGGGGGACGAUAAUGACGGUACCCCUUUAGGAAGCCACGGCUAACUACGUGCCAGCAGCCGCGGUAAUACGUAGGUGGCGAGCGUUGUCCGGAAUUACUAGGUGUAAAGGGAGCGUAGACGGCGCGGCAAGUCUGAAGUGAAAGGCAGGGGCUUAACCCCUGAACUGCUUUGGAAACUGCCAUGCUAGAGUGCUGGAGAGGG